RNAcentral lists this ribosomal RNA (360 nucleotides) under uncultured bacterium. RNAcentral's name for it is "partial 16S ribosomal RNA". It matches the Rfam family "Bacterial small subunit ribosomal RNA", at positions 338 to 696 of the family's 1533-position model. The record is from RNAcentral.
CCUACGGGUGGCUGCAGUGAGGAAUAUUGGUCAAUGGGCGCGAGCCUGAACCAGCAACGUCGCGUGAGGGAAGACGGUCCUAUGGAUUGUAAACCUCUUUUGCCGGGGAGCAAAAGACGCCACGCGUGGCGUUACGAGAGUCCCCGAAGCAAAAGCAUAGGCUAACUCCGUGCCAGCAGCCGCGGUAGUACGGGGGAUGCGAGCGUUAACCGGAUUUAUGGGUUUUAAAGGGUGCGCAGGGGGAAGGUCAAGUCGGCGUGAAAAUUGAGAGGCUCAACCUCUUAGCGCCGUUGAAACUGGUUGUCUUGAGUGAGGGAGAGGUAGGCGGAAUGCGUGGUGUAGCGGUGAAAUGCGUAGAUA